UCCAGGGAUCGGGUGGCUUAGCAACAAGCAUAUAGGUCUGGAAGAGGGAUGGAGAGGAUACCCCUAGGUACCAAACAGCUACUGGACAUUUCCUCCUGGCCCAGUAUUGUGAUAAAUCACGGACUCCCCUUCAUCUUCCCUACUCCCUCCCUCUUUCCAUCCCUGGGUUCCCUCCAAAAAGCUGUAUGCGAGUAUACCACCGAGAUGCUGAGACGUAGAGAAGAACGGGAAGUUCUCCGGAGAGAGCCAUCUGACUUCCUGUCGCUCCUCGGCCAGCGCGCGCGCGGGCUUUUCUUACCGAGUUAUCUGUUUCAGAUCUUUGCUGAAUGCGGUUGUCUGGGAGUCAGGGGCUGAUGGCCCCGAGACCCCAGGGUCCGGAUCAUGUCCCAAGACCUCUUCCUGUUCCAAGGAGCGACUUUUCCAGCGAACCAGGAGAAGCUGAGUCAUCCUUCCAUUUAGCUGUAUGAAAAAACCAAACCAAAAAAAAAAAAAAACCCAACAUCAUCUAACUUCAUUCGUAGCAAGAAUUGUCAAAUGAGGAGAUACUUUUCCUUCCAGGAGAUUCGAUUGGCAAGACUUCCAGGAUUCCUCAUGACUCCAGCUUGGAGAAAAUUGUGAUGGUGAGGGCAGCCUGCAGGGAAACCCAAUAGAAAAUAAACAGAUACAUGAGUGUCUCAGUCAGAAAAAGUAGUUUAUAUUACAAUUGCUCAUUGAGGUGUCCCCAUGGAGGGGGAGAGAGGCCAAGGAUGGAGUGAAUGUGAGAGCCUAUAGGAAAGGGUGCCCAGAGACGCAACUCAUUCCAUCGAACCUUUGCAUUGAAUUUGGAGUAUUUGAUCUGAAAAAUCAGAAUGAAAUAAAGGAAACAGAUCUGUGUAAUACAUAAGUGUAGUCAAGAAUGAAUCCACAUGGUGACCUGUAUUCCCAAAUGUUCGUGUGUAGCUUUGUCAAUACCUUGUGUCCCUCUGUGUGUGGGGGUGGGGUGGGGGGGUGUGAAUUACAUACUUUAUAGGUGCUCUGGAACUUGGGCUGGUCAUUGCACUGAUCGGAGUCCUUAAGUCUUUCAAAAGUUGUUUGUCUUUACAUGUUUGUUAUCACUAUAUAAAUUGUUGUCCCAGUUCUAUUUACUUUACUCGGCUUCCAGGCUUUCUCUGGAAAUCUCUUUCUUUAUUCCAAAUUGCAUCCCAGUCCCACCUCAUGUUUGAUUCUAGGUUUCAACUAACUAGCUUCCCAGCUAUUCCCAGAACAAAGCACUUCAAAGCUGUGCCUCAGACAUCUUCAGGAUGCAUUUUGUCCUCACCCACUUUUUGUGGCGUGAAGUAAGUAGAACCAGGAAAGCAAUAUAUCCAAUGGGACUACAAUAUUGUUAAUGGAGGAAACCAAAAUCAAAACUGAAUGCUGCCUUGUACCAUCUUGCUUGCCUUCUCAUGAGGUGGAAAAGGGGCAGAAAGAAAGGAAAGAGAUUGGAACGCAACAUUUUUUUAAAUUAAUGUUUAAAAGGUUUUUACAUGUAAUUGGGAAGUAUUUAAUGAAAUAAAUUUUAAAAAAACUGAAUGGUCUGUAAUUAUGACGUCAGGCCUUUCAAAAGAUUUGCAAACAUGCACCUCCUUCCCUUGGCAGAGGUGGGAGAUUUCUAGAUUUGGAGUGCUCAGACUCAGUUGAGAUUUUGGUUAGUUUUGCCUAACUCUUUUUAUUCUUUGUUAUCAGGAUGGUUCUAUACAUGUGGGAGGGGUAAAGUUUAUUUUUCUAAAUGAAGGCAAUGUAAAAAUAAAAGAUAUCAACAGAACUUUCCAAAACAAAUUCCUAACUUUCUUCAAGGCCACAGGUGAUGCUUCCUACUUAGCCUUUCCUGACCUCCCCAAGUUGUAACUGCAAUUACUUUGCUAUCACUUAUUU
This is a long non-coding RNA of Sarcophilus harrisii (Tasmanian devil), 1893 nucleotides long. RefSeq lists it as uncharacterized. The transcript is spliced from 3 exons. NCBI's taxonomy places the organism in Eukaryota, Metazoa, Chordata, Mammalia, Dasyuromorphia, Dasyuridae. The record is from RefSeq and is a predicted model, not a curated record.